Elaeis guineensis (African oil palm) is the source of this 720-nucleotide non-coding RNA. NCBI's taxonomy places the organism in Eukaryota, Viridiplantae, Streptophyta, Magnoliopsida, Arecales, Arecaceae. The record is from RefSeq and is a predicted model, not a curated record.
UUCUUUUUUUUUUUUUUAAUUAUCUCUCUGGGUCAUGUCAUGUAUGCUUUCUUUCACGUGCAUUGCAUACCAAUCACCGGCCGCACCGCAGGCCCUCAGAGCGCUCCGCCAUUUCACCGGCAUCUGAUUCCAUCCACCGCCAUGAGAAGUCCUUCUCUUCCAUUCUGGGUUCCCUGAUCCACGACGCCGUCACCAUCUCCUGAUGGGAUUCUCCCCAGGGUUUUUGUUCCCCAGAUACUAAAAGAACUAGAAGAAGGGAAAAGUAUCUUCCAGAUAGAUUUGAUAAACAGAUGCCCAUUUUUAUUCCAAAUCCAGAUACAACAGACAAUUUCCCCCUUCAAAGCAUUAAUUUGCCCCAUGAUGAAUUCUGUACCCAGCAAUAUAAGUUCCAUUAUGAAGCAGCCAAUUCAAAUUGAUUUAUCACUUGAAGAGCUGGCAAAUUUGCGAAAACAGCUGCAUAUUCAGGCAGCCCCAUACAAUACUUGGAUAACUCAGUAAUGCUGAGAGCAUGUAUCAAAAUCUGAAUGCCAUCAGAAACUUUUUUGGGAGCAGAAGAUUAAAGAUGAUCCUGUGGAGUCAUAUGCCCUGCCGCUUACCAAGUGGAGAUUAAAUUGUGAUGUGUUCCUCUAGGAACAAGAUCUAAACCAUUGGGAGUUCAAAUAAUGUACAUGGCAACAAUAAAAGAACAUGGAGAACUGGAAACAGUAAUGCAAGUUUUAU